UAUGGAAUUUUAAAAAACACAACUUGGAAUAAAAAUACAGUGACGUUGCCUUAAUCUUUUAAAUGUAAAAUAAACAAAAGUCUUCAUUUUUUAAAGCUUUAAUUUGGGUCCAUACUGUCAGUUUCUGUAUUCAAGCCUCAAAUAAUCACUCUUUCUGUAAAUAAAAUAGACUGAAAGAGUCUUGUUUUCCAUGAAGGACACUGGAGCUUUUGGUCUUGGGAGCCACUGUGGACAGCAUCCUCAGUGUCUAGCUUUGCCCCUCCUCCUCCUGCCAUCUGAUUGGGGAUGCAUAGGAACUGCCCAUCUCCUACACCUGUGAUACAGGGUGGAUUUGGCUGGAUCUGCAAGACUAGAUCUUGCCCCUUUCCUCCUCACCACUCCCUUGGAGGGCUGUGCCCUCCACUAAGAGAUGGACUAUCAGGUAAGGCCAGGCCCUGUUUAGCUGGGGUACAUACCAGAAAAUGUGCUUCCUUGCCAAAUGCCUCCACAUAAGCUCUCAAGGCCCAUUUGUGAGAGAAAGUAGAUUGUUGUGCUCCUAUGUGAAAUUGAAUUAAGCUUGGGGACACUUUGGAACAUAGAUGGUUGAUUUGUUUUUUUAAAAAAGCAAAAGUCUGAUUUUUAGCAUCCACAUAAGACUUUCUUACCUAUGGAUUUACCCCUCAACUAUAAAAAUUCUUUCUUUGAAGUUGAAAUAAAAAAAAUAUCUAAAGCUGCAUCUGCCCUGAGGUCAUUGUUCUAUGGAGGUCAUAUAUAUACUGUAAUACAGAGGAAGUUUGAAUUGGCAAUAUUUUGUACUUCCACGCUAGUGAAUUUUCUUGUACUUGUGUAGAGAGGUAUCUGUAUAUUUUUGGAGUGCAAAUCCUAGAAAGAAGUUG
This 875-nucleotide long non-coding RNA is filed under the name Marmota monax (woodchuck). Lineage: Eukaryota; Metazoa; Chordata; Mammalia; Rodentia; Sciuridae. The record is from RNAcentral.